RNAcentral lists this transfer RNA (88 nucleotides) under Planctomycetota bacterium. RNAcentral's name for it is "Planctomycetes bacterium (gut metagenome) tRNA-Ser". It matches the Rfam family "tRNA". Rfam says of the family: Transfer RNA (tRNA) molecules are approximately 80 nucleotides in length. Their secondary structure includes four short double-helical elements and three loops (D, anti-codon, and T loops). The record is from RNAcentral. Lineage: Bacteria; Pseudomonadati; Planctomycetota.
GGAGCGAUGUCGGAGUGGUUUAUCGAGCUGGUUUUGAAAACCAGUGUGGCGUCAGCCACCGGGGGUUCGAAUCCCUCUCGCUCCGCCA